AGGGAUGUAACUCAAUUUGGUAGAGUAUUGGUCUCCAAAACCGAAAGUUGGGGGUUCAAAUCCCUCCAUCCCUGCCA
Molecule: transfer RNA, 77 nt
Filed under: Buchnera aphidicola (Stegophylla sp.)
Lineage: Bacteria; Pseudomonadati; Pseudomonadota; Gammaproteobacteria; Enterobacterales; Erwiniaceae
Description: tRNA-Trp
Rfam family: tRNA
About the family: Transfer RNA (tRNA) molecules are approximately 80 nucleotides in length. Their secondary structure includes four short double-helical elements and three loops (D, anti-codon, and T loops).
Source: RNAcentral